Long non-coding RNA from Chenopodium quinoa (quinoa), 916 nucleotides. RefSeq lists it as uncharacterized. NCBI's taxonomy places the organism in Eukaryota, Viridiplantae, Streptophyta, Magnoliopsida, Caryophyllales, Amaranthaceae. The record is from RefSeq and is a predicted model, not a curated record. The transcript has 2 exons.
UCUUGUUUAUUGUUGUUGUUAUUGAGUUUCAGAAUUGUAUGUAUGUUUGUGGUUGGUUUUGGUUGUUGUUGUUGAUUUACUUACCUUACAUAUAACCCUUGUAGAAUUAUUAAUGGUUUCGAUCACAUUACUCAGUUGCUCUACACAGGAAGGAUCGAAGGGGACAGCGUAAUUGGGAGAUUCGGCAUUCGGACCAUGUACACGAGUGGAGUCGACGAGAGGCAUUAGUCGUCCAGGGAUACCCGUUCACUGGGACUUCUUCCCCGGCCAUGACAGAGUACAUGGCUUGGUACCGUCGCAUCACGAGACUGGUCAUUACUCCACCUUCGCAGGAGCGCCUCCCGAGUCAUUACCAGCCAGCUACCUCUGACCUCCUGCUUGCACAUGCAUUUGCUGAUUUGCACGUCCAGCUAUCGGGAGCUACUGAGACCAUCUCCCACUUGCCACCAGAGACGGCUAUACCAUUUUCCAUAUAGACGAUGCAGGGUUUUACAUCAUUUUGUGGCCAAACCUUGUCUAGGGUGGGGCAGUCACACCUUAUUCAGCAGCCUCGACCGUCCACGUCUUCAUCUUCUACUGUGCACACUAUGCCGAUCAGACCACCACCUCAUCGUGGAGGCCAUUCAGCACGUGCCUUCCGUCCACCGACUCCUUCUCAGCAUACUAUCAUGACAUCUCCUCCACUAGUGCAUCGCCAGUAUCAGAGAAACCGACGGCGUAGCAACACUACAUCUGGGGUUGGAGUUGGCCUGGAUGACAUUCCAGAGGAGACAGCUGCAUCAUCUUCAUCGUCACCUCAUGGGAAGAAGCAACGCCCGAGCUAAGUGUAUAUUUUGGAACUAAACUAAUUUUUUUGUAAAUGCUUAGAAUUGGAUUUUGUUAUAUUUAAUCAAUUGAAAAAUAUUCGACUUUGCAA